AUAUGUGUCAGCCCAACUACUCAAAGUGUGGUGGCUGGAGGUUGCCAUGUGUCAAAUAAAUUGUGGCUGUUCAAUGUCUGUAUGAGAAUCCUAUGCCAUGAAUCUAAAUUAUGUGGUGUUCUUUUGUGUCUGAUUUCAACAGCAACAUGAGGUGUUAAAAAAUUAUUUCUGUAGUGCCUGAACCUCUAACUAUUUGACUCUUCGGCUCCUAUGUUUGUUUGUCAAGCUCACCCUGCAGCCUACGUUGUCUAAUUAAAUAGGAUAUUUUCCGAUCAACGAAAUUACCGCAAGCAAGAUCAGUGCUAUGAAUUAACACACCUUUAGAGUUCUUUAGGUGGAUUCCAUCUGUGUUUGGACUGUCUUCGGGAGAGGAGGAGCAUGCGCGCACCGCGAGUACUCCUACUGGGUUGUCAAACUUGAGGUCGCAUUGUGGGCUGUUUUGAAUUGUUAUGCCUGUGAUUGUCGCAUUGAAACUUCCAUAAAAUCUUAGCACCUGCAAAAAGAAAGCAUGUCAAUCAUGUUAUAAAGUGCAUAUGAACUGCGAUAGAAAUCUUGAUAGUUUUCUUGAAGUCCUUACUGCAUCCGGGCUUGAUGCUUGGCAUUUUCCCGCUGAGCUCCCUUCUUAUCUACAACACAGUUCAGAAAAGAGACAUUAUCAGAUUUAGAUAGAUACUGCAGAUAAUAAUUGUAGUGGAAGGAUCUUCAAACGGGUGGUCUUGCCACCAUUUUGAGCCACUUCCAUCUAUGGUGUCUUUCCAUGAACUGUGCUUCCUACAAGCUUGGUGAAUUCAAGCCACUACAAGAGAUCUCUACCCUGAGCAUCGAUUGUUGGGGCAAUAAUUGUGCCAUCAAACUGGGAAGAAGAUUCAUUGCAUCAUCAUUCACCAAUAUGGAAUGCAUGAAUGGCUGUCAUUUUCUCUGCUAACAAAUUCUAUAUUUGAUGCUUGCUUGGUUGCUAACACAUUCAUGAAUAGUUUUUUUAAUUGCUAAGCUUUUUCUUUUUCUACUGUCAUAUCCUCUCUUGGCUGUGCUUCAUGGUUUGUGCCAGCUCUUGCACCUUUGCGGCUCCUUUUAGGUUGUGGUUGAUGAGGUUUGUUCUUCUUUACCUCGGUUUCAGUUGCACCACCUAUUCUGCAGAUUACUUUCCCUUUUUGUUUUCUGCGGCACCAAGCUGACUUUGCUCGCGGCUUUUGCUAUCCUAAUUUGGAUGGUUUGAUUCCUUUAGUUUGUAUGUUCUGCUGCUUCGUUGUUCAUGCCUUUAGGCUCUUACCUUUUAGUUUUCUUUUUGAUGAUGUUCGACCUCAGGUGUGCUUACUGUUUUAGGAAAUCUCUCGCAACUUUGCCUGCCCUUUUUUCUAAUAGCUGGCGAGGUUCCCUCUUCUAUACGUUGCUUUCGUUUGAUCGCUCUCUUUUCCCUUUGUUUUUUGAUCCCACAUUAAGCUGUCUUCGGUCUGUGCUUGCUCUGUCCAAGUUAUCAUAGCUUUCCUUUUCAACUUUGUAUGGCUUUCUACGUUGUUGCCUUUCGUGAUGUUUGUUUAGCCAUUUUCUAUGCUCUCUCGGUUGCGCUUCCUGGUUUAGGACCGCUCAUGCAUCUUUUCUCCAACAAUUGACAAGGUUUGCUAUUCUCUGCCUCCAUUUCAGUUCCGCCAUCUGUUUUGUAGGUUGCUUCUUCUUCUUCUUCUUCUUUUCACUUUUAUAACAUCAAGUCAUCAACAUGACUUUGACAUUGGCU
Populus trichocarpa (black cottonwood) is the source of this 1732-nucleotide long non-coding RNA. RefSeq lists it as uncharacterized. The record is from RefSeq and is a predicted model, not a curated record. The transcript is spliced from 2 exons. NCBI's taxonomy places the organism in Eukaryota, Viridiplantae, Streptophyta, Magnoliopsida, Malpighiales, Salicaceae.